RNAcentral lists this non-coding RNA (126 nucleotides) under Chromera velia. The record is from RNAcentral. Lineage: Eukaryota; Chromeraceae.
CAGAAACAGAAAGACAGGAAAGAAGAAAGAAAGACAGAAUCGUGACACAGCAAACUCGGCAGCGACUCACCUCUUUGCAGGGUCUUCUCUUCCUCCUUUUAUCCCCCCUUUUCUCUUCCUUCUUUU